Molecule: small RNA, 303 nt
Filed under: Histoplasma capsulatum
Lineage: Eukaryota; Fungi; Ascomycota; Eurotiomycetes; Onygenales; Ajellomycetaceae
Also listed under: 1 other name
Description: hypothetical RNA
Source: RNAcentral
CAGCAUACACAUCAAUCUAUUAUCAAAGAUAUAUAUGAGAAUUGAUGGUGGAAGAUUAAAAUAAUUUGAAGAUUGUGAUAUAAGCAUCAACAACAGAUAUCUGGGUGGUCAUUCUGUCAAGAAAAAAUGACAUUUAUCAAUGAUAUUGAGAUUAUCAGUGUGUAUUUCAAUCAAUAUCUGAAAAUACAACAAUUUCAAUAUCAAGAAUCUGUGUAUUCAGAACUCAUCAGAGAACUGCUUGAUGAUCAAUUGGCAACAGAUGAUUAUGCUAUAGAAUAUCAUACUCAUCAGCAAAGAAAAAGA